Molecule: ribosomal RNA, 275 nt
Filed under: uncultured bacterium
Lineage: Bacteria
Description: partial 16S ribosomal RNA
Rfam family: Bacterial small subunit ribosomal RNA
Source: RNAcentral
GCGUGAGUGAAGAAGGUCUUCGGAUUGUAAAGCUCUUUUGGCGGGGACGAUGAUGACGGUACCCGCAGAAUAAGCCCCGGCUAACUUCGUGCCAGCAGCCGCGGUAAUACGAAGGGGGCUAGCGUUGCUCGGAAUGACUGGGCGUAAAGGGCGCGUAGGCGGAUUGUACAGUCAGACGUGAAAUUCCUGGGCUCAACCUGGGGGCUGCGUUUGAUACGUAUAGUCUUGAGUGAGGAAGAGGGUCGUGGAAUUCCCAGUGUAGAGGUGAAAUUCGU